AUUGAACGCUGGCGGCAGGCCUAACACAUGCAAGUCGAACGGUAACAGGAAGAAGCUUGCUUCUUUGCUGACGAGUGGCGGACGGGUGAGUAAUGUCUGGGAAACUGCCUGAUGGAGGGGGAUAACUACUGGAAACGGUAGCUAAUACCGCAUAACGUCGCAAGACCAAAGAGGGGGACCUUCGGGCCUCUUGCCAUCGGAUGUGCCCAGAUGGGAUUAGCUAGUAGGUGGGGGAACGGCUCACCUAGGCGACGAUCCCUAGCUGGUCUGAGAGGAUGACCAGCAACACUGAAACUGAGACACGGUCCAGACUCCUACGGGAGGCAGCAGUGGGGAAUAUUGCACAAUGGGCGCAAGCCUGAUGAAGCCAUGCCGCGUGUAUGAAGAAGGCCUUCGGGUUGUAAAGUACUUUCAGCGGGGAGAAAGGGAGUAAAGUUAAUACCUUUGCUCAUUGACGUUACCAGCAGAAGAAGCACCGGCUAACUCCGU
Molecule: ribosomal RNA, 489 nt
Filed under: uncultured bacterium
Lineage: Bacteria
Description: partial 16S ribosomal RNA
Rfam family: Bacterial small subunit ribosomal RNA
Source: RNAcentral